CUGGGCUCAAGCAAUCUUCUCAUCUCAUUCUCCUGUGUAGCUGGGACCAUAGGUGUGUGCUACCACAUCUGGCUAAUUUUUAAUUUUUAUUUUGUAGAGAUGGAGGUCUUGCUACGUUGCCCAGGCUGGUAUCCAACUCCUGGCCUCAAGAAAUUCUCCUGUCUCGGCCUCCUUAAGUGCUGGGAUUACAGGUGUAAGCCACCACACCCGGCCCUCAACCUUUAUGUAUACAGUUGUUGCUCAAUAUGUGCAGGAUACUAUUUCUAGGAUGCUGUGAGGAUACCAAAAUCUCAGACGCUCAAGUUCCUGAUAUAAAAUGCAUAUAACCUAUGUACAUUGUCUUGUAUACAUUUAUUUAUUUAUUUUUGAGACGAAGUUUUGCUCUUGUCGCCCAGGCUGGAGUGCAAUGGUGUGAUGUUGGCUCACAGCAACCUCUGCCUCCCGGGUUCAAGUGAUUCUCCUGCCUCAGCCUCCCGAGUAGCUGGGAUUAUAGGCAUGCACCACCACACCCAGCUAAUUUUUUGUAUUUUUAGUAGAGAUGGGGUUUCACCAUGUUGGCCAGACUGGUCUUGAACUCUUGACCUCAGUUGAUCUGCCUGCCUCGGCCUCCCAAAGUGUUGGGAUUACAGGUGUGAGCCACUGCGCCUGGUCCCGUCUCGUAUACUUUAGAUCAUCUCUAGGUUAAUUAUAAUGCCUAGUACAAUGUAAAUGAUAUGUAAAUAGUCAUUAUACUGUACUAUUUGUAUUGUUAUAUUGUUAUUUUUCUCUAAAUAUUUUUGAUCCAUAGUUGGUUGAAUCCACGGAUGUUUGGAUCCAGCCCCUGGAUACGGAGGGCUGACUUUAAUCUUCCCCCAUCCUUAAGUAUCCUGUGAAGUUAUAAAUGAUGUGUGCCAUGUCUUACACCAGCAACUGUGCCCCCUUGGCCUGGGCACAUGUGGCAACUGUCCAUGCAUCAUGUUGUUUAGGUGAGCUUGCUGUUUCUGUCCCUACUGCUGUUGGCCCAACUAGGAAAUAUGAACUAGGUAAAUAAUUUUCAAAAAUCCAGACAUUAACUUAUUUGCCUCUGUAGGAGUCUUUUUUCCAGAGCUGAUGAUAACAAGACAGUUUCCUCUGCAGCUUCUUUCACCUGGCAUCUAUUUCACAGAGGAGGGAGGUAAGUUUUAUUUUCAAUGGCACUAAAGAUUGUUUUCCUGGAUUGUUUUCACAAACUGCACAUGAACAGUUUCAAAAGUAUUUCCUGAAUUAGGUGAUGUCUGCAGGCAGCCAUGAAUCAUGCUGAAAACAGUAUCGUUCAAAACUUUGCCAGGAAGUCUCUGGCAGAAGUGUGUUAGCGAGUCUUAGCAAACACAGCUGCUUCCUUUCUGUUCCAAUCAAUCAGCCCAGCCUAAUUACCACAGUACAAGGGUGGUAAGUCCUAGAUAUGCUUGCUGAUAACUGCCAGCUUUUAGCAUGUGCAGGUUAAAGUGCCUCUUGCUAACUACGAUAGCAGAUUAAACUCUUCCUAAUAAACGUUGUUCUAGAGCUUCCUGAAACUGGACACAGAAACAGGUCUUAGGGUCCACCAGGGACAGUUCCCAUGAUUGCUGGCAUACAACACUACAGCAGUGGCCAAAAGUAGUGUCAUAAAUCAGUAACAAAUCCAACUCUUUGAUAUUAUCAUCUUACUGCUACAGAUUACUUGGAAAAUACGCCAAAGAUAGAGAAAAAGUAACUGAUAACGAUCACAUUUCAAACCAUAGCAAUCACCAACCUGAAUUUCCACAUUCCCCAAGUGUUUUUGUGUCAAAGUGGCACCAAUCUAAAACUCACACAGAUACUUACCAUCACCUUCUAUAACACGAUUGCAGUGGAAGCAAACAUCACCAAAUAGCUGAAAAUAAAAAAAGGUGGUCAAAGUUCAAGAUGUGUUAGAAUUUUUAGAACACUGAACAUUUAAAAAUAGCUGGCUAUCUAAAUUGAGGAUUUAUCACUACUAGAGAAAAUUAGUAAAAGUUCUUUGACAAGUUUUUACUUCUUACAAUGAAAGUAAUUCACUCUCAUCAAUUAAAAGAAAAACUUCCCGGAUGACAGUUUGAACACCCAAAUAAGUGAUGCAAAAUAUAGAAAUCUGUGAGUCCAUAUGGAUAAGAAAUAGAUAAAUGAAUAAACCUAUAGACGGGAGAGGAGGUGGGUUCUUGCUCAGGCAGAGCGCUGAGGACCAGACUAUGGGUGGAGGGCAUGGGGCUGGAGAAGUAUUGUUUGCAGCUGGCGCAGAGACAAGAAUCAUCAAGGGGUGCUGAAUCUAGGGCGGGUUGAUGAGGAACAGGACAUUUCCAUGGUCAUAGAAUGAUUGCCCACAGAUUGCUUCUUUCUUACAGAGGAGGGAAGGAAAUUGUAAUUCACAGUGAUGUUAUCAGCCAGCACCAUGCCUGGGAGAUCACCAGUGCAGGAGAGGUAUAAAAUGCUCCAGGGGCAAGGUUCUGAGAAGAUGCCCUGCCACUGUAUGAGGCCACAACCUGCUGUGUAUAACCUCAUCUAAGCACAGAGAAGCACCAGACUGAGCGUGGGAAAUGAUAAAGCAAACUGUGGACUUGAAUGAAAGACAUACAGGUAUUCUUUGUAUUUUUAUAGUUAGCUUCUGAGUCUGAAAUUAUUUCCCAAAUAAAAAGUUAAAAACAAAUCUCUACUGAACAAUGUACAUCUUCCAAGAGAUUUCCUUGUAGCUAAACUACUGAUAAGCUUAGGUUCAUAAAAGUCUAUCUAGCAUCCAGUGACUAAGGUCAAUACCUGGUUAUAGUGAGUUUCACAAUACGCCAGGCCUUUCCUCUCAUAAUGGCGAUGUCCAAGAAAGGGUUUCUCACACUUGGCACAAACAAAAUGCUGAAAAAAAAUUGCUAUAGGUCAUUUUUGAAUUGCCAUAUUUUAUAUC
This 2908-nucleotide long non-coding RNA is filed under the name Homo sapiens (human). RNAcentral describes it as "HSALNT0037667". The record is from RNAcentral. Lineage: Eukaryota; Metazoa; Chordata; Mammalia; Primates; Hominidae.